This 403-nucleotide ribosomal RNA is filed under the name uncultured bacterium. Its description in RNAcentral is "bacterial SSU rRNA". It matches the Rfam family "Bacterial small subunit ribosomal RNA", at positions 508 to 908 of the family's 1533-position model. The record is from RNAcentral.
UCAGCAGGCCGCGGUAAUACAUAGGGUGCAAGCGUUGUCCAGAAUUAUUGGGCGUAAAGAGCUCGUAGGUCGUUUGUUAMGUCGGAUGUGAAAACCYGAGGCUCAACCUCAGGCCUGCAUUCGAUACUGGCAAACUAGAGUUUGGUAGGGGAGASUGGAAUUCCUGGUGUAGCGGUGGAAUGCGCAGAUAUCAGGAGGAACACCAAUGGCGAAGGCAGGUCUCUGGGCCAAUACUGACACUGAGGAGCGAAAGYCUGGGGAGCRAACAGGAUUAGAUACCCUGGUAGUCCACACCGUAAACGGUGGGCACUAGUUGUGGGAACCUUCCACGGUUUCUGCGACGCAGCUAACGCAUUAAGUGCCCCGCCUGGGGAGUACGAUCGCAAGAUUAAAACUCAAAGGA